UAAGAGGCUCUAACUCAAGAAUAUCUGUCACACCUCCUUUUUCACAACACCUGUAAGGGCAUAAAUGAGUUUUUCCAAUUAAAGGACAAUCAGAACAGAAAUUAUUAUUAUUAUUCAGAGUCGCCACUUGGGAGAUUGAUGGUGUCCCAAGUCACCGGUCAAAUCACGACCCAAGGAAAAAUAUGACUCUGUAUUACAGUCCGUGAACCACAAAUUCGGAUAAGGAAUUCUUUUAACCCGAGAGAAGGUAUUAGGUAUUCCCGUGUUCCGUGAUUCUAGCACGAUUUCUUAACUGUUUUAUUUGAU
Molecule: long non-coding RNA, 306 nt
Filed under: Nicotiana benthamiana
Lineage: Eukaryota; Viridiplantae; Streptophyta; Magnoliopsida; Solanales; Solanaceae
Description: long non-coding RNA (NBEN_LNC038503)
Source: RNAcentral